UACGUAGGGGGCAAGCGUUGUCCGGAUUUAUUGGGCGUAAAGAGCUCGUAGGCGGUCUGUCGCGUCGGCUGUGAAAACCCGGAGCUCAACUCCGGGCCUGCAGUCGAUACGGGCAGACUGGAGUUCGGCAGGGGAGACUGGAAUUCCUGGUGUAGCGGUGAAAUGCGCAGAUAUCAGGAGGAACACCGGUGGCGAAGGCGGUUCUCUGGGCCUGUACUGACGCUGAGGAGCGAAAGCGUGGGGAGCGAACAGG
Molecule: ribosomal RNA, 253 nt
Filed under: uncultured bacterium
Lineage: Bacteria
Description: partial 16S ribosomal RNA
Rfam family: Bacterial small subunit ribosomal RNA
Source: RNAcentral